This 327-nucleotide ribosomal RNA is filed under the name Triticum aestivum (bread wheat). Its description in RNAcentral is "partial small subunit ribosomal RNA". Lineage: Eukaryota; Viridiplantae; Streptophyta; Magnoliopsida; Poales; Poaceae. The record is from RNAcentral.
AUGGUCACAGAUAAAACAGUAAUAAACUGCCCUUCUCUGUUAAACUUAUGGAGUACAAAGUUGUCAUGCAUGAUCAGCAAAAGAUUUGUGCUUCUUUGGCCCAUAUAUAUCACAGUAGAGUAUAUGAUUUUCGCAGUUCUUAAUUUAAAAUUUUCCUUUUCUAGCACAGCCAUGCAUAUCAACAAUCAGUCAAGCAAAGAAAUAUUCAUGGGAGAUAUACAGGGAUCCAGAAGAAUGUGCACCGUAUGGCACUACCCUUUUGUCAUCGAGCCACUAUCACAUUUUGGUCAGCAAUCGGUUCAAGCAAUUCUCAGCGCAAUUAGUUAG